UAUGGCUGGGCACUGCAUUGACGUGCCUUGGGGUUGAAGCUAGGCUUCUUGGCCUGGUGUACCUCCCUUCCUAUGGCUUCUCUUAACCAUGGUUAGUGUUUGUAACGCCCUAUGUAGGUCUGUUUCUUGUCGUCGCUACCAAUUUUUUUUUUUUAUAUUAAGUUAGUGGAUUAGUAGGUAUUCUACCGGCGGGGUGUUUCUAAUGAUCUUCCUGUCAGUAGGGUGUGGGCAUAUUGUCUGCAUGCGGGCAGGAUAUUGAAUGCGUAUCGCUCUUAUCCUCCCUCUGGAUACCCAGUUG
Non-coding RNA from Pelobates cultripes (western spadefoot toad), 298 nucleotides. Lineage: Eukaryota; Metazoa; Chordata; Amphibia; Anura; Pelobatidae. The record is from the annotation of a GenBank genome assembly.